CCUCUGGCACUAGAACGUUAUUUUAUUCACUUUACUCUCUCAAUGAGAUGUUAGCAUUUCUCACCAUUAAUGUUUCCUUCAGAAAAUGGGCAAGCGCAUGCAUGAUGACUUGAAAAAAAAAAAUGCUAAGUCAUUGCUCCAUUCUCCUAUCCUCGACAGAUACUGAUGUGGAGCUUGCAAGAUGGUCCAACCAUCCCCGAGCUCGAGCCUAGCACCACCUGCUGUACAUCGCAUCAAUCCC
This 241-nucleotide long non-coding RNA is filed under the name Elaeis guineensis (African oil palm). RNAcentral describes it as "long non-coding RNA (EGUI_LNC024020)". Lineage: Eukaryota; Viridiplantae; Streptophyta; Magnoliopsida; Arecales; Arecaceae. The record is from RNAcentral.